AUUGGAGGGCGGCGGGUUAAUUUUCCGCCAACCCGGUCAGGUCCGGAAGGAAGCAGCCGUAACGGAAGCGAUUAAGGUCGCCCGCUCUCCGCCUCA
Molecule: signal recognition particle RNA, 96 nt
Filed under: Azospirillum sp.
Lineage: Bacteria; Pseudomonadati; Pseudomonadota; Alphaproteobacteria; Rhodospirillales; Azospirillaceae
Also listed under: 3 other names
Description: signal recognition particle sRNA small type
Rfam family: Bacterial small signal recognition particle RNA
About the family: The signal recognition particle (SRP) is a universally conserved ribonucleoprotein involved in the co-translational targeting of proteins to membranes. Archaeal SRP consists of a 7S RNA and homologues of the eukaryotic SRP19 and SRP54 proteins. In most bacteria, the SRP consists of a 4.5S RNA and the Ffh protein (a homologue of the eukaryotic SRP54 protein).
Source: RNAcentral